Molecule: long non-coding RNA, 1173 nt
Filed under: Lupinus angustifolius (narrow-leaved blue lupine)
Lineage: Eukaryota; Viridiplantae; Streptophyta; Magnoliopsida; Fabales; Fabaceae
Description: long non-coding RNA (LANG_LNC003523)
Source: RNAcentral
AAGAAUAUCAUAGAGCUAUAUAUUGUCUUUUUCUAAAAUAUAAAAGACAACCUGGGUACCUCUAAUUCAUAUGGUGGUCAACAAUAUCUUUUUGGUUGGCCGGUGGAAAAAAUCUUCUGCCUACAGCUGAAGAAGAUCUCCACAAUCCAUUAGCAUAUAUUAUAUUUACUACCUAAAAUUAACUACCAAAAUUUGGCUAUUUCAACUCACAAGACUCUGACAACUGGUGUUUCUAAUGAUGGCAAAAGUCUCUCUUCCACACUUCAAAGAUUUCAUGUUCAAAAGCCGUUCAAGGUACAAAGGGAAAUGAGUAUGCUCCCAAUAUUAAUUACUUAUGCUCAUGGCAGAUUUCACCAUAAACUUCUUUAUAUAUUGUUUGUUAGAUUCAUAAUUUUUAUAGCAUUGGUUAAAAGAAACAAUUGAUAUAGCGACUUGAAAUUGUUGUGUGCUUGUUUAAAGAAGUUUGUGGUUGUGAUAAACUAACAUAUACAAGCCAACUCAAUCAGAGAACAAAUCUCAGUCAUAAUGUGACCAGCUAAUAUAUCUUUGAUUAAUUAGAACAUUAAUUCACCAUAGAUGAACAACAGAGAUAAACUUGUAGGUAUAUAUAUGUAUUCAAUUGGUAGUAAAUGAGUGUAAUCAUGUAUGAUUUUCCUUCCAUUUUACGAAGAGAAGCAAAGCAACAAUUUUGACAGUCAUCUCCGGAAUCAACUUUAAAAUCUUAGUACAAUUUCUACUACAACCUGUUGAAAUUUCUGAAGACUUGGCAAAUAAAAGUUCAUACAACUAUUGAAAAUUCAAACUGUAUAAUAAGACAUUCAACAAUUUUCAAUGGAACUACAUAGUGAAACACCUUGGCAUUCAACAGUUUCUAGACAAUGGAAAGAAGAAUUUCAGUUGCUAAAACACCACUUAAAUAGUGAUUAAUACUUGGAGACUCCUACGCUUUCUAAAAUCGCGAUUCAGAGAAAGAGAGUCUUACACAGAGAUUCGCGAAGCAUCAGAAAGAUUUAGGUUGGAUUUAUUAAACUCGGUUUUGAUUCACAAUGACUUAGGUCGGAUUCACAAAGAUUUGAGUUUUGAUUUACAGAGGCAGUGAAGAAUAAGAAGGAUUAAGAUUUUCGUAUCAAAAUGAGAUAUACAGUUUUUUGGGCAUUAGAGAGAGAUUUUUUU